This 253-nucleotide ribosomal RNA is filed under the name uncultured bacterium. RNAcentral's name for it is "partial 16S ribosomal RNA". It matches the Rfam family "Bacterial small subunit ribosomal RNA", at positions 524 to 776 of the family's 1533-position model. The record is from RNAcentral.
UACGUAGGGACCAAGCGUUGUUCGGAUUUACUGGGCGUAAAGGGCGCGUAGGCGGCUUAACAAGUCACUUGUGAAAUCUCCGGGCUUAACUCGGAACGGCCAAGUGAAACUGUCGAGCUAGAGUGCAGAAGGGGCAAUCGGAAUUCUUGGUGUAGCGGUGAAAUGCGUAGAUAUCAAGAGGAACACCUGAGGUGAAGACGGGUUGCUGGGCUGACACUGACGCUGAGGCGCGAAAGCCAGGGGAGCAAACGGG